Molecule: ribosomal RNA, 447 nt
Filed under: uncultured bacterium
Lineage: Bacteria
Description: bacterial SSU rRNA
Rfam family: Bacterial small subunit ribosomal RNA
Source: RNAcentral
UGGGGAAUCUUGGACAAUGGGCGCAAGCCUGAUCCAGCCAUGCCGCGUGGAUGAUGAAGGCCUUAGGGUUGUAAAAUCCUUUCGUGGGGGACGAUAAUGACGGUACCCCAAGAAGAAGCUCCGGCUAACUUCGUGCCAGCAGCCGCGGUAAGACGAGGGAUCCUAGCGUUGUUCGGAAUUAUUGGGCGUAAAGCGGGUAUAGGCGGACUUAUAAGUCAGGUGUGAAAUCCCAGGGCUCAACCCUGGAAGUGCACUUGAUACUGCAAGUCUUGAGUGUGGUAGAGGCUAUUAGAAUUCCUGGUGUAGUGGUGAAAUACGUAGAUAUCAGGAGGAAUACCGGAGGCGAAGGCGGAUAGCUGGGCCAACACUGACGCUGAGACCCGAAAGCGUGGGGAUCAAACAGGAUUAGAUACCCCGGUAGUCCCUGAGCGGGCUGGCAAGGCGCAU